GACGAACGCUGGCGGCGUGCUUAACACAUGCAAGUCGAACGGAAAGGCCCUGCUUUUGUGGGGUGCUCGAGUGGCGAACGGGUGAGUAACACGUGAGUAACCUGCCCUUGACUUUGGGAUAACUUCAGGAAACUGGGGCUAAUACCGGAUAGGAGCUCCUGCUGCAUGGUGGGGGUUGGAAAGUUUCGGCGGUUGGGGAUGGACUCGCGGCUUAUCAGCUUGUUGGUGGGGUAGUGGCUUACCAAGGCUUUGACGGGUAGCCGGCCUGAGAGGGUGACCGGCCACAUUGGGACUGAGAUACGGCCCAGACUCCUACGGGAGGCAGCAGUGGGGAAUAUUGCACAAUGGGCGGAAGCAUGAUGCAGCACCGCCGCGUGCGGGAUGACGGCCUUCGGGUUGUAAACCGCUUUCGCCUGUGACGAAGCGUGAGUGACGGUAAUGGGUAAAGAAGCACCGGCUAACUACGUG
Molecule: ribosomal RNA, 468 nt
Filed under: uncultured bacterium
Lineage: Bacteria
Description: partial 16S ribosomal RNA
Rfam family: Bacterial small subunit ribosomal RNA
Source: RNAcentral